Molecule: ribosomal RNA, 319 nt
Filed under: uncultured bacterium
Lineage: Bacteria
Description: bacterial SSU rRNA
Rfam family: Bacterial small subunit ribosomal RNA
Source: RNAcentral
GAUGAACGCUGGCGGCGUGCCUAACACAUGCAAGUCGAGCGAAGCGAUUUGGCGGAAGUUUUCGGAUGGAAGCUAAAUUGACUGAGCGGCGAGGUCGAAGUACGCUAGGUAACGUGCUCAUACAGGGGAUAACAGUUGGAAACGGCUGCUAAUACCGCGAUAAGCGCACAGUUAACCGGCAUGGUACCGUGUGAAAACUCCGGUGGUAUGAGAUGGACCCGCGUCUGAUUAGGUAGUUGGUGGGUAACGGCCUACCAAGCCGACGAUCAGUAGCCGACCUGAGAGGGUGACCGGCACAUUGGGACUGAGACACGGCCAA